This 339-nucleotide unclassified non-coding RNA is filed under the name fungal sp. Its description in RNAcentral is "partial internal transcribed spacer region". The stretch from base 1 to 46 matches the Rfam family "Eukaryotic small subunit ribosomal RNA", at positions 1786 to 1831 of the family's 1831-position model. Lineage: Eukaryota; Fungi. The record is from RNAcentral.
AAGUCGUAACAAGGUUUCCGUAGGUGAACCUGCGGAAGGAUCAUUAUCACGUAUCCACGUACUAACUCCCGUGAACCUCCCUCUUGGGUGCAAGGUGGCGCAGAUAUUUCCCGUUGUUUCGUGAUUUAAGGAUAGUCUGUCGUCUGGUGUUGAAACCAAACCUUGUGCUCUUGAGUGUAUGUUUUAAACCACGAUAUUUUCACCUUAUUUACAACUUGUACCUUUAGAACUGAUUUGUUUCAUGUCCUUUCCGCAAGGAAAUGCUUGAAAUAUUAUACGAAACGCAAAACAACUCUUAGCAACGGAUAUCUUGGUUCCCAUAACGAUGAAGAACGCAGC